ACUCCUACGGGAGGCAGCAGUGGGGAAUUUUGGACAAUGGGCGCAAGCCUGAUCCAGCCAUUCCGCGUGCAGGAUGAAGGCCUUCGGGUUGUAAACUGCUUUUGUACGGAACGAAAAAGCCUCCUCUAAUACAGGAGGUCCAUGACGGUACCGUAAGAAUAAGCACCGGCUAACUACGUGCCAGCAGCCGCGGUAAUACGUAGGGUGCGAGCGUUAAUCGGAAUUACUGGGCGUAAAGCGUGCGCAGGCGGUGAUGUAAGACAGUUGUGAAAUCCCCGGGCUCAACCUGGGAACUGCAUCUGUGACUGCAUCGCUGGAGUGCGGCAGAGGGGGAUGGAAUUCCGCGUGUAGCAGUGAAAUGCGUAGAUAUGCGGAGGAACACCGAUGGCGAAGGCAAUCCCCUGGGCCUGCACUGACGCUCAUGCACGAAAGCGUGGGGAGCAAACAGGAUUAGAUACCCUGGUAGUCCACGCCCUAAACGAUGUCAACUGGUUGUUGGGUCUUCACUGACUCAGUAACGAAGCUAACGCGUGAAGUUGACCGCCUGGGGAGUACGGCCGCAAGAUUAAAACUCAAAGGAAUUGACGG
RNAcentral lists this ribosomal RNA (588 nucleotides) under uncultured bacterium. RNAcentral's name for it is "bacterial SSU rRNA". It matches the Rfam family "Bacterial small subunit ribosomal RNA", at positions 335 to 916 of the family's 1533-position model. The record is from RNAcentral.